GCUGUAGCUCAGUGGUAGAGCAUCUACCUUGCAUGUCGAAUGUUCCAGGUUCAAUUCCCAGCAUCUCCA
Podarcis lilfordi (Lilford's wall lizard) is the source of this 69-nucleotide non-coding RNA. NCBI's taxonomy places the organism in Eukaryota, Metazoa, Chordata, Lepidosauria, Squamata, Lacertidae. The record is from the annotation of a GenBank genome assembly.